AUUGAACGCUGGCGGCAUGCCUUACACAUGCAAGUCGAACGGUAACAGGUCUUCGGAUGCUGACGAGUGGCGAACGGGUGAGUAAUACAUCGGAACGUGCCUAGUAGUGGGGGAUAACUACUCGAAAGAGUGGCUAAUACCGCAUGAGAUCAACGGAUGAAAGCAGGGGAUCGCAAGACCUUGCGCUACUAGAGCGGCCGAUGGCAGAUUAGGUAGUUGGUGGGAUAAAAGCUUACCAAGCCGACGAUCUGUAGCUGGUCUGAGAGGACGAUCAGCCAGACUGGGGCUGGGAAACGGCCCAGACUCCUACGGGAGGCAGCAGUGGGGAAUUUUGGACAAUGGGCGCAAGCCUGAUCCGGCAAUGCCGCGUGCAGGAUGAAGGCCUUCGGGUUGUAAACUGCUUUUGUACGGAACGAAAAGCCCCGGGUUAAUACCCUGGGGUCAUGACGGUACCGUAAGAAUAAGCACCGGCUAACUACGUGCCAGCCGCCGCCGUAA
Molecule: ribosomal RNA, 498 nt
Filed under: uncultured bacterium
Lineage: Bacteria
Description: partial 16S ribosomal RNA
Rfam family: Bacterial small subunit ribosomal RNA
Source: RNAcentral